UGGGUAGCUCAGUGGUAAAGCGUCUGUCUGAAAAACAGAAGAUCGGCGGUUCGAUUCCGCCCCC
Molecule: transfer RNA, 64 nt
Filed under: marine eukaryotic metagenome
Rfam family: tRNA
About the family: Transfer RNA (tRNA) molecules are approximately 80 nucleotides in length. Their secondary structure includes four short double-helical elements and three loops (D, anti-codon, and T loops).
Source: RNAcentral